Molecule: transfer RNA, 84 nt
Filed under: Clostridium putrefaciens
Lineage: Bacteria; Bacillati; Bacillota; Clostridia; Eubacteriales; Clostridiaceae
Also listed under: 1 other name
Rfam family: tRNA
About the family: Transfer RNA (tRNA) molecules are approximately 80 nucleotides in length. Their secondary structure includes four short double-helical elements and three loops (D, anti-codon, and T loops).
Source: Rfam by way of RNAcentral
GCCGAAGUGGUGAAACUGGCAGACGCAACGGACUCAAAAUCCGUCGGUAGUGAUACCAUGCGGGUUCGAUUCCCGCCUCCGGCA